GUUUGUGGAAACACCACGUAAAUUUAUUACUGCAAAGCUUUCGAUCCGUAAGCCCGGAUCUUCAUCAGUGCUAAUAAUAUCUUUGCAGUAAUAAAUUUACGUGGUGUUUCCACAAACAAAAACAA
Molecule: non-coding RNA, 125 nt
Organism: Paramuricea clavata
Lineage: Eukaryota; Metazoa; Cnidaria; Anthozoa; Malacalcyonacea; Plexauridae
Source: the annotation of a GenBank genome assembly